RNAcentral lists this transfer RNA (73 nucleotides) under Saccoglossus kowalevskii. RNAcentral describes it as "tRNA-Tyr". It matches the Rfam family "tRNA". Rfam says of the family: Transfer RNA (tRNA) molecules are approximately 80 nucleotides in length. Their secondary structure includes four short double-helical elements and three loops (D, anti-codon, and T loops). Lineage: Eukaryota; Metazoa; Hemichordata; Enteropneusta; Harrimaniidae. The record is from RNAcentral.
CCUUCGAUAGCUCAGUUGGUAGAGCGGAGAACUGUAGAUCCGUAGGUCGCUGGUUCGAAUCCGCCUCGAAGGA